Archocentrus centrarchus (flier cichlid) is the source of this 462-nucleotide long non-coding RNA. RefSeq lists it as uncharacterized. The record is from RefSeq and is a predicted model, not a curated record. The transcript is spliced from 3 exons. Lineage: Eukaryota; Metazoa; Chordata; Actinopteri; Cichliformes; Cichlidae.
UUCCUCCUGUCUUCCCUCCUUUCCACCUCUGCAUGUGAAUUGAAAGAAAGGGGAAAGAGAAAGCCGAGCGAGAGAUCAGCAGGCACAUUGGUUUUUGUCCUUUAACUUGGGUGUGUGUGUGCUUUUCCUCACCCUUUGUCACCAACCUGCGCCUGGGACCUGCAGGUUUGGAUACAAAGCAGUGAGCUAGAAGAACAACAAGCAAUUGGGGCAUUCUGGAUCCAAAGGGGAGGCCUAUUAGACCAGGUCAGGACAUGUCGGGAAAUGGUCCAUGAACAUGAGAUGCAUAUGACAGCCACACUGAAUCAACCUCAGCUGCCCAUAUAUGACUCUUUGUAUUAUAUAUUAUAUCUUGAUCAGGACAUACUAUGUAACAGCAUGACUUGUUGCUUUUUGUUUUUAAUAAUUUACAUGUCUUUAUAAUAUGAAAGUGUGAUGCUAAUAAAAUAUUUAUUAAAUGUU